Molecule: long non-coding RNA, 694 nt
Organism: Patella vulgata (common limpet)
Lineage: Eukaryota; Metazoa; Mollusca; Gastropoda; Patellidae
Exons: 3
Source: RefSeq, a predicted model, not a curated record
AAAUUAUUCAUUUAUUCUUAUUUGGAAAACAAAACGACAUAACGAACGGACGAAAGAUUGAGAAUGAAAGUUGUGUUGGUUGUUUUAUUGGUGUUAUCGUUAGCGGUAUCAGAUGUGGAAUGUGGCUUUCGUCGUUUUGUCAGAAGACUUCCAAAUACUAAUUUCGAUGGUAAACGUGAAGUUGAGGUAAUAAGUAACCACGAAGAAUAUGAACGUCAGCUAAUCCCUACCGCUUGACCCUUAAAUAUUUGAUUGAUGGUGUGUGGCCGAUUCCAUUCAAAGUGAAUAUUAAACAUACAUUAUGCAAGAGCUAAAUCUGCCUAUUACAGGUCUUUCUUUAGGCCUGAAAUGUUUUCUAAAUUAUUAAUUAGACAUUAAUUAACCUAUCCAUGCCAUAAUAAACUCUCAAUUGUAUCGGGUUUUUCUGAUAUUAAAUAGAUUAGAACAGUUCAGCCAUAUUUUGAUUUAAGCUAAAAAUGGAGGAGCAAGACGUAGCUUCGAACAACCAGUACGGUGGUUGAAAUUAUUGCACACGUCUUGUCAACACCUUCAAAGGCUAAUAACUUCGCUCGCAAUAGAGUAAUUUGAAUGAAAUUUUCAAAUUAUUCAUUUUACAUUAUCUAUAUUCGAACUAUUAUAACAAGAAUUGCUAGCUCUUUAUCCAAAUCUUACAUAUUGUAUCUUUAAUAAAAUA